UGGGUACUACCAUGAAGUAUUUAAAUUACAUAAAGCCAUCAUUUUUAAUGAUGUGUGUGCUAUCUAUUUUUCUAGCUUAAAGAAUUGUUGUGGAUAUAAAAAUCCAUGUAUAUUAAUAUGUAAUAUAAGUCCAUAUUAAAUAUUAGACCAUGUCAAAUUUGCUAGGUGUGCUUGCAAAUAAUUAGUGUUAUGGACCAUAUAUUGCCUUUACGUAAAGAUGGGUAAUAAGAGUCCAAGUUAUAUAAAUUGGGCCAAAUUAAUUUUUUCAUGUAGACAUUCAAGUCUUCUUUAUUUUAUUAAUAUAAUAUGAGUGCAUUGAGCCCAAAGCAAAGUUGUGCCCAGCCUUGCAUUAGACCCAAUUCGGCAGACAUAUUGGAGAAAAAAAGAGGAACUGUUAGUUCAAAUUAAAAGAGCAGUGAGAUGGUUGUUGGUCAGUCAGUAAGCUAACAGUUAGUUAGCAAUUAAGUUAGUAGCUAUAAGGUGUAGAGUGGCUGUAGGAGCCAAGUUCAUUGCAUGAGCCAAGUAGCUACUAGAGGACUGAAUAGGGGCCAACAUAGGGGCCAAAGAGACUGCAGAGAAGUAGGAGGAUGCUAAGCCUUGUAGGGGCUAUGUAGUGGUAAUGAUAAAAGUCAAAAUAGGGGCCGGGUAGGGGCCUAAAGAGAGCAUCCAGGUAGAGAUAAUUAUGAAGAGCAGCAAUAAGCCAAGUAGGCUGAUUGAGAGAGAGAGAGAAAGAGAGAGAAAAAGUUCAGCCAUAUAUGACCAUACACUGCACCUGAAAACAAAUAACUUCUAUACUUAACCGUGUGUGUGGUGUGUGAAGUAAAUG
This 826-nucleotide long non-coding RNA is filed under the name Panax ginseng (ginseng). RNAcentral describes it as "long non-coding RNA (PGIN_LNC012830)". The record is from RNAcentral. Lineage: Eukaryota; Viridiplantae; Streptophyta; Magnoliopsida; Apiales; Araliaceae.